Molecule: long non-coding RNA, 610 nt
Filed under: Malus domestica (apple)
Lineage: Eukaryota; Viridiplantae; Streptophyta; Magnoliopsida; Rosales; Rosaceae
Description: long non-coding RNA (MDOM_LNC009526)
Source: RNAcentral
ACGUGUCUAUGACUGAAGUGACAAGUGAUGAAGACCAACCUACUAUUAGCCAAAAAACAUUUUCUAGUGGCACUACAAGUAAAAAACUGAUAACUCACUACCCUGCAAAAUCUUUCGGGAAAGAGUAGAGCUAAAAGCAGUUGUUAUACUGAGAUAAUAGUGGCACGCCUAGCACUUUGUUAGUUUUGAUUGUGAGCCUCAAGACCUACACCUAAGGCCACACAAAGACACCUUUCAAAACUAACUUCAAACUCAUCUUGCAGCACAUCAAGCAGCAAGAGUCUGACAAACAAACAUACCAAGUGCCAUUUACCCUUUGGGAGCUGUGGGAGGGGCCAUCCACCUUUUGCCUCGAACAUAAUUCAUUUGUCCUCGCGAUUAUGAUUCAUGAUUCAAAGCUUACGAUUAACUAGCUCAGAGGCGCUUUGUUACGCGAGUUGCACAACUCUUGAAGGGCAAGACAACCAAGGUUUCUUUCAUUUCAGUACUUCAUUUGAGAGGAUAUGGGCAUUGUAUAUCGAUACUUUGCAUACUUAUGUGGGAUAGACCCAUCUAGUAUGUGUUUUAUUGAAGUAUUGAAUUUAGUGAGAUGUUUUAUAUAUAUAUUACU